Molecule: ribosomal RNA, 408 nt
Filed under: uncultured Bifidobacterium sp.
Lineage: Bacteria; Bacillati; Actinomycetota; Actinomycetes; Bifidobacteriales; Bifidobacteriaceae
Description: bacterial SSU rRNA
Rfam family: Bacterial small subunit ribosomal RNA
Source: RNAcentral
CUUCUGGGAAAGCUUUCGCGGUAUGGGAUGGGGUCGCGUCCUAUCAGCUUGACGGCGGGGUAACGGCCCACCGUGGCUUCGACGGGUAGCCGGCCUGAGAGGGCGACCGGCCACAUUGGGACUGAGAUACGGCCCAGACUCCUACGGGAGGCAGCAGUGGGGAAUAUUGCACAAUGGGCGCAAGCCUGAUGCAGCGACGCCGCGUGAGGGAUGGAGGCCUUCGGGUUGUAAACCUCUUUUAUCGGGGAGCAAGCGAGAGUGAGUUUACCCGUUGAAUAAGCACCGGCUAACUACGUGCCAGCAGCCGCGGUAAUACGUAGGGUGCAAGCGUUAUCCGGAAUUAUUGGGCGUAAAGGGCUCGUAGGCGGUUCGUCGCGUCCGGUGUGAAAGUCCAUCGCUUAACGGUGG